Regulatory RNA element from Paenibacillus polymyxa SC2, 122 nucleotides. It matches the Rfam family "pan motif". NCBI's taxonomy places the organism in Bacteria, Bacillati, Bacillota, Bacilli, Caryophanales, Paenibacillaceae. The record is from Rfam.
GAGGCUGUAUCGAUAUAUUCGAACGGUACUCUGGUAAGGUGUAAUUUAAUAAGUAUAAGCGUGAGCCUAUGGAGGUGAACUCGUUGGAUUUUGCUCUGAUCCGAAAGGACCGAGACAAAAGA